RNAcentral lists this ribosomal RNA (255 nucleotides) under uncultured bacterium. Its description in RNAcentral is "partial 16S ribosomal RNA". It matches the Rfam family "Bacterial small subunit ribosomal RNA", at positions 1246 to 1500 of the family's 1533-position model. The record is from RNAcentral.
GAAGCAAAGCCGCGAGGUAGAGCAAAUCUCAAAAAAACAAUCUCAGUUCAGACUGCAGGCUGCAACUCGCCUGCACGAAGUCGGAAUUGCUAGUAAUCGUAGGUCAGCAUACUACGGUGAAUACGUUCCCGGGCCUUGUACACACCGCCCGUCAAACCAUGAGAGUUGGCAACACCCGAAGUCGGUAGUCCAACCGCAAGGAGGACGCCGCCGAAGGUGGGGUUGAUGAUUAGGGUUAAGUCGUAACAAGGUAUC